This is a long non-coding RNA of Gadus macrocephalus (Pacific cod), 1411 nucleotides long. RefSeq lists it as uncharacterized. The record is from RefSeq and is a predicted model, not a curated record. The transcript is spliced from 2 exons. NCBI's taxonomy places the organism in Eukaryota, Metazoa, Chordata, Actinopteri, Gadiformes, Gadidae.
CACGAGAAGCCGCUCGUGUGCAGAGUUAGGCUGCCAUCUGGCGGCGUAAUCAAAUCCAACCGCUGACAUGAACCAUGAACCACCGGAAGCAAGCAACCUCGAAACGGACUAAAAGGAUCAUGCAUUGCAUUUUAUUUGUAGGCGACAGUAAAAAAAAAAAAAAAAAAAAGACAGCAUAAAAUAAAUCAACACCAAAAACACAUUGUUAGAAGGAGUUGUUUUGGCUGGUGUAUCCAGGCCGUAGCUAUGGCAAGUCAUUCCAGACCUGUCAUACAUAUCAAAUGCUGCUUUUCCCUCAGAAGCCAUUUCCCUUGGAAGCCCACCAUCCUUUUUCCUUUUUGGUGUGAACUGAUCAAACAUUAGUCCUCUUGUUUGACCAGUAAACACAAUAGAGUCCACUGUGCUGGGACCUCUCUUCAUUCUCCCAUGGAGUCAACACAGCAGCUGACCUAUGACUCAACGUGUGUGUGUGUGUGUGUGUGUGUGUGUGUGUGUGUGUGUGUGUGUGUGUGUGUGUGUGUGUGUGUGUGUGUGUGUGUGUGUGUGUGUGUGUGUGUGUGUGUGUGUGUGUGUGUGUGUGUGUGUGUGUGCGUGUGUGUGUGUUCGCUCUAGGACUUUGGAUCGGCGCUGCGUCGCUUCAGCUUCUCGGGGUUGUUCGACGCCAUGUGCGAGAAGUCCCGGAAGAUGUCUUGGUACGUCGCGUCCCCUGCGGACCACAGGAGAGGGAGAGGAGAGGAUGAGGAGGGGGAGGGUGGGAGUGAGCGCUCAUGUCUCAACAUUAAAGGUGACAGAUUAUACCACCAGUUUGAAGUGUGAUUAGCCGUUACAAGCCGUUUUGGAAAAUCUGCCUCUUCUGACAUCACAAGUGGGCGUGUCCACCUGGAUGUGUGCUGGAUAGAUCAGUCUACCAGCCUACCCAGUGCACUGUAGCAAGCGUUGCUCAUCUAUCCGCCGUGCUUCUAGGUCAGGGAUGGGCAACAGUUUUAGUCCAAGGGCCACAGUUACUUUGGCAAGGUCAACGGAGGGCCACACUUUAGACGAUUGCAAUUAAACAUGGUGACACGAUUAAAUGGUACAAAUUAAUUCAAUGCAAAUUAUGUAUCAGGCUACUUUACAGUUGCCUCGACUUUGCCAGUCUAUUUCAAGGCCUGACAUUUAUUUUUUGAUAGGCCUAUCUGACCUUGGCUACUCUAAGGUUACAAUAACUGGAUUUGCUUUCAAGGAUUCAUUUACUACACGACCCUGCAUAUUGUUCAACUGUCAUUCAUACCAGCUGUAGCUCUUCAAGAUAGAUAACUAUUAACAAAACUGCAAAUGUAUGUCUGCAGGAUACAUUAACAUACAGACUUAAGGCAAUCUUUUUGAGGCUAUAGGGAGACCUUCAUCACUGAAUGAAAAUUACAUGCCUAUC